GAUGAACGCUAGCUGGAGGCUUAAUACAUGCAAGUCGAGCGGGAUUGGUAGCAAUACCAUGAGAGCGGCGCACGGGUGAGUAACGCGUACACGACCUACCUCUGACAGGGGGAUAGCCCUGGGAAACUGGGAUUAAUACCGCAUAUUAUUCUGAUUAAUAAAGGAUUGGAAUGAAAGCUGAGGCGGUCAGAGAUGGGUGUGCGUCUGAUUAGCUAGUUGGUAGGGUAACGGCCUACCAAGGCGAUGAUCAGUAGGGGGCGUGAGAGCGUGGUCCCCACACGGGUACUGAGACACGGACCCGACUCCUACGGGAGGCAGCAGUAAGGAAUAUUGGUCAAUGGGCGAAAGCCUGAACCAGCCAUCCAGCGUGCAGGAAGAAGGCCCUAUGGGUUGUAAACUGCUUUUAUCAGGGAAGAAACCUCUGGAUUUACUCCGGAGCUGACGGUACCUGAAGAAUAAGCACCGGCUAACUCCGUGCCAGCAGCCGCCGGUAAUGUG
This 498-nucleotide ribosomal RNA is filed under the name uncultured bacterium. Its description in RNAcentral is "bacterial SSU rRNA". It matches the Rfam family "Bacterial small subunit ribosomal RNA", at positions 28 to 527 of the family's 1533-position model. The record is from RNAcentral.